Molecule: ribosomal RNA, 492 nt
Filed under: uncultured bacterium
Lineage: Bacteria
Description: partial 16S ribosomal RNA
Rfam family: Bacterial small subunit ribosomal RNA
Source: RNAcentral
AGUGAACGCUGGCGGUAGACCUAACACAUGCAAGUCGAACGGCAGCACAGUAAGAGCUUGCUCUUACGGGUGGCGAGUGGCGGACGGGUGAGGAAUACAUCGGAAUCUACUUUUUCGUGGGGGAUAACGUAGGGAAACUUACGCUAAUACCGCAUACGACCUACGGGUGAAAGCAGGGGAUCUUCGUACCUUGCGCGAUUGAAUGAGCCGAUGUCGGAUUAGCUAGUUGGCGGGGUAAAGGCCCACCAAGGCGACGAUCCGUAGCUGGUCUGAGAGGAUGAUCAGCCACACUGGAACUGAGACACGGUCCAGACUCCUACGGGAGGCAGCAGUGGGGAAUAUUGGACAAUGGGCGCAAGCCUGAUCCAGCCAUACCGCGUGGGUGAAGAAGGCCUUCGGGUUGUAAAGCCCUUUUGUUGGGAAAGAAAAGCAGCAGGUUAAUACCCCGCUGUUCUGACGGUACCCAAAGAAUAAGCACCGGCUAACUUCGUG